CGGUGUGGGUGGAUGGGUGUCCCCUUCUUCCCUCACCACUCCACGUGUGUCCCUCCCGAAGCUUUGCGCUCAGUGGAAGAGGACGACCACCCCUGAGAGAGGAGGACCAUCCCCUCAGUCAAGGGUCUCCCCUGCUAGAACCUCCAAACAAACAUAACCAUAUACUGUAAUAAAACUUCCAUGAAUAUAGUCUCUUCCUGCAAACAUCUUAUUGUA
Unclassified non-coding RNA from Fukomys damarensis (Damara mole-rat), 216 nucleotides. Its record names the gene 7SK. It matches the Rfam family "7SK RNA". From Rfam's summary of the family: 7SK was discovered as an abundant small nuclear RNA in the mid-70s but a possible function has only recently been suggested. Two independent studies have found that 7SK RNA binds the CDK9/cyclin T complex (known as elongation factor P-TEFb). P-TEFb activates transcription by phosphorylating the C-terminal domain of RNA polymerase II. The record is from Ensembl. NCBI's taxonomy places the organism in Eukaryota, Metazoa, Chordata, Mammalia, Rodentia, Bathyergidae.